This 299-nucleotide long non-coding RNA is filed under the name Salvia miltiorrhiza (redroot sage). RNAcentral describes it as "long non-coding RNA (SMIL_LNC004037)". Lineage: Eukaryota; Viridiplantae; Streptophyta; Magnoliopsida; Lamiales; Lamiaceae. The record is from RNAcentral.
GGUCUAAAGAAAAAUAUAUGCUGCUAAGGGAAUCUUAAGCAAAUAUAUAUAGGAUUACAAUCCCUAAGUGACCGAUCACCCCCAAUAUAUGGGCUUCUCGGCCCUUACAAAAAAUAAAGCCCCAAAAAUAAUCCAAACAAGAGUAUUAGAUUUUAAUUAAAUCUAAACUAAUUAACUCCAAGCACAAUCUCUAAUCUUCUUUAAAAAUCACACAAACUUCAUUAUAUGCACGUCUUUCUCGAUCUCACGGCAUCCACGAGCCUCCAACCACACUUCAUGCAAUUCCUACGCCAAAAUAU